Molecule: ribosomal RNA, 460 nt
Filed under: uncultured bacterium
Lineage: Bacteria
Description: partial 16S ribosomal RNA
Rfam family: Bacterial small subunit ribosomal RNA
Source: RNAcentral
CCUACGGGCGGCAGCAGUGAGGAAUAUUGGUCAAUGGACGAGAGUCUGAACCAGCCAAGUAGCGUGAAGGAUGACUGCCCUAUGGGUUGUAAACUUCUUUUAUAUGGGAAUAAAAUGUUCCACGUGUGGGAUUUUGUAUGUACCAUAUGAAUAAGGAUCGGCUAACUCCGUGCCAGCAGCCGCGGUAAUACGGAGGAUCCGAGCGUUAUCCGGAUUUAUUGGGUUUAAAGGGAGCGUAGGUGGAUUGUUAAGUCAGUUGUGAAAGUUUGCGGCGCAACCGUAAAAUUGCAGUUGAAACUGGCAGUCUUGAGUACAGUAGAGGUAGGCGGAAUUCGUGGUGUAGCGGUGAAAUGCUUAGAUAUCACGAAGAACUCCGAUUGCGAAGGCAGUUCACUGGACUGCAACUGACACUGAGGCUCGAAAGUGUGGGUAUCAAACAGGAUUAGAUACCCGAGUAGUC